GAUGAAGAACGUAGCGAAAUGCGAAAAGUAAUGUGAAUUGCAGAAUUCAGUGAAUCAUCGAAUCUUUGAACGCACAUUGCGCCCGCCAGUAUUCUGGCGGGCAUGCCUGUUCGAGCGUCAUUUCAACCAUCAAGCCCCCGGCUUGUGUUGGGGACCUGCGGCUGCCGCAGGCCCUGAAAACCAGUGGCGGGCUCGCUAGUCACUCCGAGCGUAGUAAUACAUCUCGCUCAGGGCGUGCUGCGGGUUCCGGCCGUUAAAAAGCCUUAUUUACCCAAGGUUGACCUCGGAUCAGGUAGGAAGACCCGCUGAACUUAAGCAUAUCAAUAAGCGGAGGA
RNAcentral lists this unclassified non-coding RNA (335 nucleotides) under soil metagenome. RNAcentral's name for it is "partial contains 5.8S ribosomal RNA, internal transcribed spacer 2, and large subunit ribosomal RNA". The stretch from base 1 to 120 matches the Rfam family "5.8S ribosomal RNA", at positions 35 to 154 of the family's 154-position model. The record is from RNAcentral.